Lycium barbarum (goji berry) is the source of this 705-nucleotide long non-coding RNA. RefSeq lists it as uncharacterized. Lineage: Eukaryota; Viridiplantae; Streptophyta; Magnoliopsida; Solanales; Solanaceae. The record is from RefSeq and is a predicted model, not a curated record. The transcript has 2 exons.
UUAGAAAUUAAUUCAUCUACCCAAAGAUAUUGGGCCAUCUCACUAAACCAAAUCAGCAGCCCAAUAUCCCCCUCAACCGCCCCAGCCCAAUUCUCGCCGACCCGGCCCAAAACCACCUAAAAAUCAGCCUAACCAAACAAAAUCCCUAACUCUUUUUCCAUCCCAACCAAACGAUCCCCUAACUCCUUUCCCCUUCAACCAACAGCUAACCAAACGACGCCGCCAUCCCACCCCGUCACGUCACUUCCAUCACCUCGUCAGCACUACCACGCCGUCGGACCGCUGGGUUAACGUGGUCAGCGACGCCACUGACCUCACAAGUCACCUUUUCUCCCAUCACCCAUCUCCCUUUUUCUGAAAUAAAGCUUGACGACUCGUAAAAAGGUCGAUUGAGACCUCUGAGAACGGGAAAAGGCGAAUCCACAGCCAUCAAACCCACCUGAAAAGGAACCUUGGAAGCAUUUGGAGUUAUGGCAACUCCGGAUUCUGCCCAUAUCAGAGAACAGCCAGUUGCAGGAUUUAAUUGCUCGUGUCUAGCGUCCCCGUCUUCCUUCCUCUCUUUAAAUUUCGUGUCUUCGUGUUAUCAUGUACACACAUGUUUAUAUUCUUGACUAACAUUUUUUAUGGAUUGUAUUUGUAGCACAUUUAUUUCUCGCUUGUGUAGGAACUUAUGGAAAAUAGUUAGUAUGAUGGUAAAUUUAGUCA